RNAcentral lists this ribosomal RNA (495 nucleotides) under uncultured bacterium. Its description in RNAcentral is "partial 16S ribosomal RNA". It matches the Rfam family "Bacterial small subunit ribosomal RNA", at positions 28 to 507 of the family's 1533-position model. The record is from RNAcentral.
GACGAACGCUGGCGGCGUGCCUAAUACAUGCAAGUAGAACGCUGAAGGCGGAGCUUGCUUCUCUGGAUGAGUUGCGAACGGGUGAGUAACGCGUAGGUAACCUGCCUGGUAGCGGGGGAUAACUAUUGGAAACGAUAGCUAAUACCGCAUAAUAGUAGCUGUUGCAUGACAUUUGCUUAAAAGGUGCAAUUGCAUCACUACCAGAUGGACCUGCGUUGGAUUUGCUUGUUGGUGGGGUAUCGGAUCACCAAGGCGAGGAUACAUAGCCGACCUGAGAGGGGGAUCAGCCACACUGGGACUGGGACACGGCCCAGACGGCUACGGGAGGCAGCAGUAGGGAAUCUGGGGCAAUGGGCGGAAGACUGAGCGAGCAAGGCGGCGGGAGGGAAGAAGGUUGUCGGGUCGGAAAGGUCGGUUGUAGGGGAAGAAAGAGUGUGAGAGUGGAAAGUUCACACUGUGACGGUAACUGACCAGAAAGAGACGGCUAACUACGUG